GACGAACGCUGGCGGCGUGCUUAACACAUGCAAGUCGAACGAAGACCGAUUGAAGCUUGCUUCUUUCAAUCUUAGUGGCGAACGGGUGAGUAACACGUAAUCAACCUUCCCUUCUGGGGGGGACAACAGUAGGAAACGACUGCUUAUACCGCAUACCAACUUAUCUCUGCAUCGAGGAUAUAUUAAAGCUUUCCUCUACAUGUAAGCUCUCACUGGAGUUGGCGAGUGCGUCUGGUUAGCGAGCUGGAGGGGGAACGUCCCACCAAGGGGAUGGGCAGUAGACGGGCUGAGAGGGUGUACGGCCACAUUGGGAAUGAGACACGGCGCAGACUCCUACGGGAGGCAGCAGUGGGGAAUCUUCCGCAAUGGAGGAAAGUCUGACGGAGAGACGCCGCGCGAGUGAUGACGGGCUUCGGGUUGUAUAGCUCUGUUAUGCGGGAAGAAAGGACUUCCUGCGAAUAGUGAGAAGGAUUGACGGUACCGGAAUAGAAAGCCACGGCUAACUACGUG
This 510-nucleotide ribosomal RNA is filed under the name uncultured bacterium. Its description in RNAcentral is "partial 16S ribosomal RNA". It matches the Rfam family "Bacterial small subunit ribosomal RNA", at positions 28 to 507 of the family's 1533-position model. The record is from RNAcentral.